UACGUAGGUGGCAAGCGUUGUCCGGAUUUACUGGGCGUAAAGGGCGUGCAGGCGGUCUGUUAAGUGCAGGGUGAAAGCUCCCGGCUCAACUGGGAGAGGUCCUUGCAUACUGGCGGACUUGAGGGGGGUAGAGGAAAGUGGAAUUCCCGGUGUAGUGGUGAUAUGCGUAGAUAUCUGGAGGAACACCGGUGGCGAAGGCGGCAUCCUGGACCGACACUGACGCUGAGGAGCGAAAGCCAGGGGAGCAAACGGG
This 253-nucleotide ribosomal RNA is filed under the name uncultured bacterium. RNAcentral describes it as "partial 16S ribosomal RNA". It matches the Rfam family "Bacterial small subunit ribosomal RNA", at positions 524 to 776 of the family's 1533-position model. The record is from RNAcentral.